ACGCAGGCGGUCUGUCAAGUCGGAUGUGAAAUCCCCGGGCUCAACCUGGGAACUGCAUUCGAAACUGGCAGGCUGGAGUCUUGUAGAGGGGGGUAGAAUUCCAGGUGUAGCGGUGAAAUGCGUAGAGAUCUGGAGGAAUACCGGUGGCGAAGGCGGCCCCCUGGACAAAGACUGACGCUCAGGUGCGAAAGCGUGGGGAGCAAACAGGAUUAGAUACCCUGGUAGUCCACGCUGUAAACGAUGUCGACUUGGAGGUUGUUCCCUUGAGGAGUGGCUUCCGGAGCUAACGCGUUAAGUCGACCGCCUGGGGAGUACGGCCGCAAGGUUAAAACUCAAAUGAAUUGACGGGGGCCCGCACAAGCGGUGGAGCAUGUGGUUUAAUUCGAUGCAACGCGAAGAACCUUACCUACUCUUGACAUCCACAGAACUUAGCAGAGAUGCUUUGGUGCCUUCGGGAACUCUGAGACAGGUGCUGCAUGGCUGUCGUCAGCUCGUGUUGUGAAAUGUUGGGUUAAGUCCCGCAACGAGCGCAACCCUUAUCCUUUGUUGCCAGCGAUUCGGUCGGGAACUCAAAGGAGACUGCCAGUGAUAAACUGGAGGAAGGUGGGGGAUGACGUCAAGUCAUCAUGGCCCUUACGAGUAGGGCUACACACGUGCUACAAUGG
RNAcentral lists this ribosomal RNA (665 nucleotides) under Klebsiella oxytoca. RNAcentral's name for it is "bacterial SSU rRNA". It matches the Rfam family "Bacterial small subunit ribosomal RNA", at positions 569 to 1233 of the family's 1533-position model. Lineage: Bacteria; Pseudomonadati; Pseudomonadota; Gammaproteobacteria; Enterobacterales; Enterobacteriaceae. The record is from RNAcentral.